Molecule: non-coding RNA, 730 nt
Organism: Odocoileus virginianus texanus
Lineage: Eukaryota; Metazoa; Chordata; Mammalia; Artiodactyla; Cervidae
Source: RefSeq, a predicted model, not a curated record
GCCCAAGCCGAAGUUGCAAACAUGGCUCAAAGCAGAGACGGUGGAAACCCCUUCGCCGAGUCUGGCGAGCUUGACAACCCCUUUCAGGACCCAGCUGUGAUCCAGCAUCGACCCAGCACGCACUAUGCUACUCUUGACAGUCUACAACCCUUCUGAGACCCGGGAGCCACCACCAAGCUAUGAGCCUCCUGCCCCUGUUCCGAUAGCUCCGCCCUCAGCUCCACCCUUGCAGUCCUCAAGAAAACUCAGCCCCACAGAACCCAAGAACUAUGGCUCCUACAGCACCCAGGCUUCAACUGCAGCAGCCACAGCUGAGCUGCUAAAGAAACAGGAGGAGCUCAACCGAAAGGCAGAGGAGUUGGACCGAAGGGAGAGAGAACUCCAGCAUGCUGCCCUGGGCGGCACAGCUGCUCGACAGAACAAUUGGCCCCCUCUACCUUCUUUUUGCCCAGUUCAGCCCUGCUUUUUCCAGGACAUCUCCAUGGAGAUCCCCCAAGAAUUUCAGAAGACAGUAUCCACCAUGUACUACCUCUGGAUGUGCAGCACUCUGGCUCUUCUCUUGAAUUUUCUUGCCUGCCUCGCCAGCUUCUGUGUGGAGACCAGCAAUGGCUCAGGCUUUGGGCUCUCUAUCCUCUGGAUCCUCCUCUUCACUCCCUGCUCCUUCGUCUGCUGGUAUCGCCCCAUGUACAAAGCUUUCAGGAAAGAAGGGGCGACAAUAACCCCCUUCUAA